This 312-nucleotide ribosomal RNA is filed under the name uncultured bacterium. Its description in RNAcentral is "bacterial SSU rRNA". It matches the Rfam family "Bacterial small subunit ribosomal RNA", at positions 28 to 334 of the family's 1533-position model. The record is from RNAcentral.
GACGAACGCUGGCGGCGUGCUUAACACAUGCAAGUCGAACGAUGAAGCUGAAGCUUUUGUUUUGGUGGAUUAGUGGCGAACGGGUGAGUAAUACGUGAGUAACCUGCCCUUGUCUUUGGGAUAAGCCUGGGAAACUGGGUCUAAUACCGGAUAUUCUGCUUCUGCCGCAUGGUGGGGGUUGGAAAGAUUUUUUUGGAUGGGGAUGGGCUCACGGCCUAUCAGCUUGUUGGUGGGGUGAUGGCCUACCAAGGCGUCGACGGGUAGCCGGCCUGAGAGGGUGACCGGCCACAUUGGGACUGAGAUACGGCCCAG